UUGUAAGGGCACCACAAGAACGCGUGGAGCAUGUGGCUUAAUUUGACUCAACGCGGGAAAUCUUACCGGGUCCGGACACACUGAGGAUUGACAGGCAAUAUUAAUACUUUGCUUCGGCAUUGUAUUAUGUUAAAUAUGNUAGUCCUUUCAUGAUUAUGUGAUAGGUGGUGCAUGGCCGUUCUUAGUUCGUGGAGUGAUCUGUCUGCUUAAUUGCGUUUCACUAAGGGCCUAUAAAUUUACGUAUGUUGUAUCGCACUUUGACCCCUUUCUUUAAUUAGAAAGCGCGUGUCUUAGUUUCGCUUUGCUCAUACUAUUAGGUCCUGAAAGCAACGAACGUGACCGCAACCUCUUGUUGCCUUUAUACCAAACAUGUUUAUUCAUUUUUUAAUGUUCAUUCAUGAAAAAAGGCUUUUUAAACUAGAGGGACCGCUGUUACUUUCUUAAACCAGAGGAAGGUGCGGCAAUAACAGGUCUGUGAUGCCCUUAGAUGUUCCGGGCUGCACACGUGCUACAAUGAUUAUUGCAGUGAGCAUCUCAUUUUUACACACCGCAUGCGCGAGUCCAUUUAUUCACCUUCGGGUGUUUUAAAUGUGUACCUCUGCGCGCGGUAAAGCCUGCUUCGAAAGUAAGUGGGUAAUCAAUUAGAAGUAAUGAUUUCCUUUUUUAGCACACAUAUAUACGGCGUCUAUGCCCGGGUUACCUUGUUGUAGCUUUUGUGUGUAUAGAUGUUUUUUCCGUAUGUGCGAUUGUCAAUUCAUGGUGGGGACAGACCAUUGUUAAUUGUUGGUCUCGGUCUUAACUAGGAAUGCCUUGUACGGGUCUUUGGUUCAACAAACCACCCGGAAUACGUCCCUGCCCUUUGUACACACCGCCCGUCGCUCUUACCGAUGGACUUCUCUGUGAGUUUGAGGGACUGGGAACGCAGGAAUUUAUCCCUGCACACCUAUGGAAACUUAAACGAACAGUGUGGUCUAAAGGAAAGA
RNAcentral lists this ribosomal RNA (983 nucleotides) under Cibicidoides wuellerstorfi. Its description in RNAcentral is "bacterial SSU rRNA". It matches the Rfam family "Eukaryotic small subunit ribosomal RNA", at positions 1156 to 1784 of the family's 1831-position model. Lineage: Eukaryota; Foraminifera; Rotaliida; Anomalinidae. The record is from RNAcentral.